CAAUAGCGUAUAUUAAAGUUGUUGCGGUUAAAAGCUCGUAGUUGGAUUUCUGCCGAGGACGUCCGGUCCGCCCUCUGGGUGAGUACAUGGCACGGCCUGGGCAUCUUCUUGGGGAACGUAUCUGCACUUGACUGUGUGGUGCGGUAUCCAGGACUUUUACUUUGAGGAAAUUAGAGUGUUUCAAGCAGGCACACGCCUUGAAUACAUUAGCAUGGAAUAAUAAGAUAGGACCUCGGUUCUAUUUUGUUGGUUUCUAGAGCUGAGGUAAUGAUUAAUAGGGAUAGUUGGGGGCAUUCGUAUUUAACUGUCAGAGGUGAAAUUCUUGGAUUUACGAAAGACGAACAACUGCGAAAGCACUUGCCAAGAGUGUUUUCAUUAAUCAAGAACGAAAGUUAGAGGAUCGAAGACGAUCAGAU
This 416-nucleotide ribosomal RNA is filed under the name uncultured eukaryote. RNAcentral describes it as "SSU rRNA". It matches the Rfam family "Eukaryotic small subunit ribosomal RNA", at positions 592 to 1013 of the family's 1831-position model. The record is from RNAcentral.